UUCCCUUUGCACUUCCGACCGAGGCGCGCGCCCCUUAACAAGACCAAGCUUGUACAAUCACAUGACGGGCAGCAACGUGAUUUCUGCUGAAAUCAAUUAGUUAAGUGAAUUUACAAAGUCUACGGUCACUAGAAUGAAGGCACCACGGAGAAUCCUACAGUGAUGGAGGAGAUGAGCAGUUUCCUAAAUUACUGCUUGGGGUUUUUAAGAAGAAAGGAAGCCAUGGCAUGAUGGUUUCUCAAUCGGUUUAUUUCUUAUUCGACCAAGGAAAUGACACUUAAAAAGCAUAGAAUAACUUCAAGUACAGGUUUUUUUGAUGAACAGUCUUAAGGAGGAAGAGCAUGAGUGAGGAGGAGGAGGAAGAGGGUGAAGGUGUGUUUAGCUUGCAGAGCAGACUCUUCCUCUAUCAUGCAUCAGCCGUAUACUUAAUUGCGAAGCAGAAGGAAGCCUGUGACUUCCGUUUUCCUCUUCAGAUCUUUCGCUUUGGAUUAUAUUUCGCUCUGGCUAUAGCAGUGGACUCUCGUCAGUCUCCAACACCAACCAGCCCGAGCCAAGGAGCAUCUUGCAGAGGGUAAUCCAUCUCCAUCACUUAAAUGAUUAUCCCCAUUAAUC
Molecule: non-coding RNA, 612 nt
Organism: Danio rerio (zebrafish)
Lineage: Eukaryota; Metazoa; Chordata; Actinopteri; Cypriniformes; Danionidae
Source: Ensembl